RNAcentral lists this ribosomal RNA (651 nucleotides) under Drosophila virilis. RNAcentral's name for it is "eukaryotic LSU rRNA". It matches the Rfam family "Eukaryotic large subunit ribosomal RNA", at positions 97 to 641 of the family's 3401-position model. Lineage: Eukaryota; Metazoa; Arthropoda; Insecta; Diptera; Drosophilidae. The record is from RNAcentral.
AAAGAAAUCAGUUCAGCACUAAGUCACUUUGUCUAUAUGGCAAAUGUGAGAUGCAGUGUACGGAACAUCAACAUUCUAGUAUGAGAAGUUAACGAUUUAAGUCCUUCUUAAAUGAGGCCAUUUACCCAUAGAGGGUGCCAGGCCCGUAUAACGUUAAUGAUUACUAGAUGGUGUUUCCAAAGAGUCGUGUUGCUUGAUAGUGCAGCACUAAGUGGGUGGUAAACUCCAUCUAAAACUAAAUAUAACCAUGAGACCGAUAGUAAACAAGUACCGUGAGGGAAAGUUGAAAAGAACUCUGAAUAGAGAGUUAAAUAGUACGUGAAACUGCUUAGAGGUUAAGCCCGAUGAACCUGAAUAUCCGUUAUGGAAAAUUCAUCAUUAGAAUUGUAAUAUUUUAAACAAUAUUAUAAUAAUAGUGUGCAUUUUUUCCAUAUAAGGACAUUGUAAUCUAUUAGCAUAAAUAUUUAUCAUAAAAUUAUGUCUGAUUGCUUAUUUGAAUUAUAUGCUUGGCAUUUUAACAUAAAAUAAAAGAUAUAAAUUUGAUAAAGUGCUGAUAGAUUUAUAUGAUUACAGUGCGUUAAUUUUUCGGAAUUAUAUAAUGGCAUAAUUAUCAUUGAUAUUUGUGUUUAUUAUAUGCAUUUGUAUGAUUAA